GUACCACACCAAGCAAAGCUCUCUGGGUGACACAGUUGCCACCACCAGGGCACUGACCCUUACUCUGUGUUCUCCUAGCUCCUCCUGAGGGUGCUGUAGGAGACAUCUGCAAAAAAGAAGAUGCUGGCAAUAUGCCAUCAACCUCAGAGGGGAGUAUUUACCUUGAAAUGGCUCACUUCCUGAGGAACAAACUUGCUGGAUCUAGUGUACGGAAACCUGAUUCUGGGUUCCUUUGGGAAGGAGCAUUACGGGCCUGCUCCUGGACCACCUCAUAUCACCAGCACCCUCUACCCAAGGUCCUGGAGCCAACACUGGAGUAAAAGAGCACAAGAGAACUCCUUAGAGGUGGAAGGAUACCCUCUGAGGUCAAAUCAUUGGGCUUGUGGCCAUGAGACCACAGACUUUGCCUGGCUUCCAGUGACUGUCCGAGAUGACCUGUGGAGUGCACCGCCUGUACUUGGACAUCACUGUCUUUUCGGAUCCAUACCCGUCAUCCUUGGAAUUUCCCCUGCAUCCAAACCUGUUCCUGAUACAGGUGUGAGUAAUGAAUAACCCUAAGGAAUAUCUUGGAUGUCUUCACGGGGCUUAUGACUUAUUCUGAGGUUUACAAAAUAGAGGCCCCCAGCUGAGCAAAGAGAGGGCUGCAGCGCCGAGGGAACAGCUGCCGGACUCACCGGAGAGGCCUCCUGGAGCACGCCGGGACCCCCUCCACCCCCUGGCUUUGG
Molecule: long non-coding RNA, 725 nt
Filed under: Homo sapiens (human)
Lineage: Eukaryota; Metazoa; Chordata; Mammalia; Primates; Hominidae
Description: HSALNT0392980
Source: RNAcentral